RNAcentral lists this ribosomal RNA (414 nucleotides) under uncultured microorganism. RNAcentral describes it as "bacterial SSU rRNA". It matches the Rfam family "Archaeal small subunit ribosomal RNA", at positions 459 to 872 of the family's 1478-position model. The record is from RNAcentral.
CAGCCGCCGCGGUAAUACCGGCGGCCCGAGUGGCGGUCACUAUUAUUGGGCUUAAAGCGUCCGUAGCCGGGUUGGGAAGGCCUCCGGGAAAUCUGGCCGCUUAACGGUCAGAAUGCCGGAGGAUACUCCCAGCCUAGGGAGCGGGAGAGGCCGAGGGUAUUCCCGGAGUAGGGGGGAAAUCCUAUAAUCCCGGGAGGACCACCUGUGGCGAAGGCGCUCGGCUGGAACGCGUCCGACGGUGAGGGACGAAGGCCAGGGGAGCAAACCGGAUUAGAUACCCGGGUAGUCCUGGCUGUAAACGAUGCGGACUUUGUGUCGGACAAGCUAUGAGCUUGUCCGGUGCCGGAGGGAAACCGUUAAGUCCGCCGCCUGGGGAGUACGGCCGCAAGGCUGAAACUUAAAGGAAUUGGCGGG